AGUGAACGCUGGCGGUAGGCCUAACACAUGCAAGUCGAACGGCAGCACAGUAAGAGCUUGCUCUUACGGGUGGCGAGUGGCGGACGGGUGAGGAAUACAUCGGAAUCUGCUUUUUCGUGGGGGAUAACGUAGGGUAACUUACGCUAAUACCGCAUACGACCUACGGGUGAAAGCAGGGGAUCUUCGGACCUUGCGCGAUUGAAUGAGCCGAUGUCGGAUUAGCUAGUUGGCGGGGUAAAGGCCCACCAAGGCGACGAUCCGUAGCUGGUCUGAGAGGAUGAUCAGCCACACUGGAACUGAGACACGGUCCAGACUCCUACGGGAGGCAGCAGUGGGGAAUAUUGGACAAUGGGCGCAAGCCUGAUCCAGCCAUACCGCGUGGGUGAAGAAGGCCUUCGGGUUGUAAAGUCCUUUUGUAGGGAAAGAAAAGCAGCAGGUUAAUACACCGCGGUUAUGACGGUACCCAAAGAAUAAGCACCGGCUAACUUCGUG
RNAcentral lists this ribosomal RNA (492 nucleotides) under uncultured bacterium. Its description in RNAcentral is "partial 16S ribosomal RNA". It matches the Rfam family "Bacterial small subunit ribosomal RNA", at positions 29 to 507 of the family's 1533-position model. The record is from RNAcentral.